CCCAGGUCAGGGGAAGUUGUGGAUACUGACACGGGAGCAUCUUAGGAGUUCUUUCUUUGGGUCUCCAGUCCUACAUUUUCCCAGGCUCUGCAGAAAGAGAAGCCUGAAAGUCUCAGUAUCAGAGGUACCUACCGUGGUCUGUAAAUAAUACAGAAUACUACACUUCCAAGGAAAUUGCACAUAAUAUGAUGACUAUUACAAGCACAAAGGAAUAGAAGAAGUCAGACUACAAAGGAGAGAUUCUUCAAGAUUUCAUUUGUACAAGAUUUAAAAUAGUAGUGAUAUAAGCUACGUCCUCCUGGGGACCUCAUUGAGGACCACAGUAUUUACUGAAUGAGAAGAAAAGCUACCACUAGUGGCUGAGAACCUCAGGGCAUAGACUUCUCCUUCGAUGGAAGAUUCUGGCUGCUAUGAGGACUCUAGCCUAGGAGAGACAAAGAAACGGAGAUGACAGCAAUCUGGCCAGGGUGCUGGCAGGGAAAGCAGUUCUGACAGGUUGGAGAACAACUGCUCUAAGUGGAUGGCAAUGGCCAAGAAUGCAAUGUGGGGAAUCUGUGCAUCUGCGUAUGUCGAUUUUUCGUGUACUCAGACAUGGCUACUAAAAAGAAGAACGUGUAAACAGAUAUCUGUAUUUUAAAAACAGAUAAGGUCUGGUAGAGAAUGUAGAUGAUUGACAGACACUAGCCCAGGAGUCUGAAGGGGUCUUGGGAUAAUAAACAAGAAUAAGGCAUACA
Molecule: non-coding RNA, 734 nt
Organism: Rattus norvegicus (Norway rat)
Lineage: Eukaryota; Metazoa; Chordata; Mammalia; Rodentia; Muridae
Source: RefSeq, a predicted model, not a curated record